UACGUAGGGGGCAAGCGUUUGUCCGGAUUUAUUGGGCGUAAAGCGCUCGCAGGCGGCUCGAUGCGUCGUGCGUUGAAACACCCCCGGGCUCAACUGGGGGAGGGUCGUGCGAUACGGUCGGGGCUUGAGGCCAGUAGGGGGGAUGCGGAAUUCCGGGGUGUAGUGGUGGAAUGCGUAGAGAUCCGGAGGAACACCAGCGGCGAAGGCGGCAUCCUGGACUGGUACUGACGCUCAG
Molecule: ribosomal RNA, 235 nt
Filed under: uncultured bacterium
Lineage: Bacteria
Description: partial 16S ribosomal RNA
Rfam family: Bacterial small subunit ribosomal RNA
Source: RNAcentral